This 366-nucleotide ribosomal RNA is filed under the name Triticum aestivum (bread wheat). RNAcentral describes it as "partial small subunit ribosomal RNA". Lineage: Eukaryota; Viridiplantae; Streptophyta; Magnoliopsida; Poales; Poaceae. The record is from RNAcentral.
AUGCAGGCAGGAGUCGGUCUACUUGUCUCGGACGUGAUGCCUAUAUACAUGAUCAUACCUAGAUAUUCUCAUAACUAUGCUCAAUUAUGUCAAUUGCUCAACAGUAAUUCGUUCACCCACCGUGAAAUACUUAUGCUCUUGAGAGAAGCCACUAGUGAAACCUAUGGCCCCCGAGUCUAUCUUCAUCAUAUUAAUCUUCCAACACUUAGUUAUUUCCUUUGCUUUUAUUUUACUUUGCAUCUUUAUCAUAAAAAUACCAAAAAUAUUAUCUUAUCAUAUCUAUCAGAUCUCACUCUCGUAAGUGACCGUGAAGGGAUUGACAACCCCUUAUCGCGUUGGUUGCGAGGAUUUAUUUGUUUUGUGUAG